AGAAAUUACAGGUACUUCUAACGCUCCACUUAUCGGCGGUGUUGUCGGUUCUGUGGUAGUUGUCGUUAUCGUGACAGUCAUCAUUGUUGUAUUUCUGAGGAGAAGAAAGAGAUCAAGAGCUAAGAACAAAACUGAUGAUAUAAUUGUCCCAGAAAAUGAUACAAAGAUAAAAGAAAGAAAGCAUAGUGCAGCUGAAGGACCUGUCUACGUCAAUGCAAGCAAUUCAAUUGAAAACCUUGAAGUAAAUGAGACUAACGCCAGUGACGUAGUACCAGUCGUGGAUGGAGGAGAGCCUGAAGACCAACAGACUGACGAGGAGGAGGAGGUCCAGGAUCCCAACACGUACUACAAUGCUGCCCAACCAGCUCCUCCUCCGUUCAAUCUGCCAGAAGAAGGUUUUGACGUCUCAGACCUUGAAGGUAUAAUAGAGAGCAUCAGGAAUCAGCCUGGAGGAUUUGAUGCAGAAUAUCUCAAACUACCAAGUGGAUUCAAGCAUCCAUAUACCGAUUCACAGAUUCCAGAUAACAGGUGCAAGAACCGAUUUGCUGGUUACUAUCCAU
This is a long non-coding RNA of Gigantopelta aegis, 560 nucleotides long. RefSeq lists it as uncharacterized. NCBI's taxonomy places the organism in Eukaryota, Metazoa, Mollusca, Gastropoda, Neomphalida, Peltospiridae. The record is from RefSeq and is a predicted model, not a curated record. The transcript has 4 exons.